This 171-nucleotide ribosomal RNA is filed under the name Thalassionema nitzschioides. RNAcentral describes it as "partial Bacterial small subunit ribosomal RNA". It matches the Rfam family "Bacterial small subunit ribosomal RNA", at positions 650 to 820 of the family's 1533-position model. The record is from RNAcentral. Lineage: Eukaryota; Bacillariophyta; Fragilariophyceae; Thalassionematales; Thalassionemataceae.
UGAGGAAAAUAUUAGAACCAUUGGAGUAGUGAUAAAAUGUUUUGAUACUAAUGGGACGGAUAACGGCGAAGGCAAACCUCUAUGUAAUAACUGACGUUGAGGGACGAAGGCUUGGGGAGCGAAUAGGAUUAGAUACCCUAGUAGUCCAAGCAGAGAAUUAUGAAUGUUAUA